RNAcentral lists this ribosomal RNA (482 nucleotides) under uncultured bacterium. Its description in RNAcentral is "partial 16S ribosomal RNA". It matches the Rfam family "Bacterial small subunit ribosomal RNA", at positions 30 to 507 of the family's 1533-position model. The record is from RNAcentral.
AUUGAACGCUGGCGGCAUGCCUUACACAUGCAAGUCGAACGGUAACGGGCCUUCGGGUGCCGACGAGUGGCGAACGGGUGAGUAAUACAUCGGAACGUGCCCGAUCUUGGGGGAUAACGGGGCGAAAGCUUUGCUAAUACCGCAUACGAUCUACGGAUGAAAGCGGGGGACCGCAAGGCCUUGCGCGGACGGAGCGGCCGAUGGCAGAUUAGGUAGUUGGUGGGAUAAAAGCUUACCAAGCCGACGAUCUGUAGCUGGUCUGAGAGGAUGAUCAGCCACACUGGGACUGAGACACGGCCCAGACUCCUACGGGAGGCAGCAGUGGGGAAUUUUGGACAAUGGGCGCAAGCCUGAUCCAGCCAUGCCGCGUGCAGGAUGAAGGCCUUCGGGUUGUAAACUGCUUUUGUACGGAACGAAAAGCCUUCUUUUAAUACAGGAGGGUCAUGACGGUACCGUAAGAAUAAGCACCGGCUAACUACGUG